UAAUACGUAGGGUGCGAGCGUUGUCCGGAAUUAUUGGGCGUAAAGAGCUCGUAGGCGGUUUGUUGCGUCGGCCGUGAAAACUUCACGCUUAACGUGGAGCUUGCGGUCGAUACGGGCAGACUUGAGUUCGGUAGGGGAGACUGGAAUUCCUGGUGUAGCGGUGAAAUGCGCAGAUAUCAGGAGGAACACCGGUGGCGAAGGCGGGUCUCUGGGCCGAUACUGACGCUGAGGAGCGAAAGCGUGGGGAGCGAACAGGAUUAGAUACCCUGGUAGUCCACGCCGUAAACGUUGGGCGCUAGGUGUGGGGUCCUUUUUUGGGUUCCGUGCCGUAGCUAACGCAUUAAGCGCCCCGCCUGGGGAGUACGGCCGCAAGGCUA
Molecule: ribosomal RNA, 377 nt
Filed under: uncultured bacterium
Lineage: Bacteria
Description: bacterial SSU rRNA
Rfam family: Bacterial small subunit ribosomal RNA
Source: RNAcentral